AUAGCUCAAUUGGUAGAGCAGCGGGCUGAUGAUCCAAAGGUCCAGGGUUCAACUCCCAGU
RNAcentral lists this transfer RNA (60 nucleotides) under Ixodes scapularis (black-legged tick). It matches the Rfam family "tRNA", at positions 7 to 64 of the family's 71-position model. From Rfam's summary of the family: Transfer RNA (tRNA) molecules are approximately 80 nucleotides in length. Their secondary structure includes four short double-helical elements and three loops (D, anti-codon, and T loops). Lineage: Eukaryota; Metazoa; Arthropoda; Arachnida; Ixodida; Ixodidae. The record is from Rfam by way of RNAcentral.